UUGAGCCUACGGGGCGCAGCAGUGGGGAAUAUUGCACAAUGGGGGGAACCCUGAUGCAGCGACGCCGCGUGGGUGAAGGAGCACCUCGGUGCGUAAAGCCCUAUCGGCAGGGAAGAAAAGCGAACAGGUUCGCCUGGACGGUACCUGACUAAGAAGCCCCGGCUAACUACGUGCCAGCAGCCGCGGUAUUACGUAGGGGGCAAGCGUUAUCCGGAUUCACUGGGGGUAAAGGGAGCGUAGACGGCGACGCAAGUCUGGAGUGAAAGCCCGGGGGCCAACCCCGGGACU
This 288-nucleotide ribosomal RNA is filed under the name uncultured bacterium. Its description in RNAcentral is "partial 16S ribosomal RNA". It matches the Rfam family "Bacterial small subunit ribosomal RNA", at positions 332 to 622 of the family's 1533-position model. The record is from RNAcentral.